This 453-nucleotide ribosomal RNA is filed under the name uncultured Porphyromonadaceae bacterium. Its description in RNAcentral is "bacterial SSU rRNA". It matches the Rfam family "Bacterial small subunit ribosomal RNA", at positions 341 to 792 of the family's 1533-position model. The record is from RNAcentral. Lineage: Bacteria; Pseudomonadati; Bacteroidota; Bacteroidia; Bacteroidales; Porphyromonadaceae.
ACGGGAGGCAGCAGUGAGGAAUAUUGGUCAAUGGGCGGAAGCCUGAACCAGCCAAGUCGCGUGAAGGAUGAAGGUAUUAUGUAUUGUAAACUUCUUUAGACGUAGAGAAAUAAGGCGCUCGUGAGCGCUGAUGCUAGUAUACGUAGAAUAAGGAUCGGCUAACUCCGUGCCAGCAGCCGCGGUAAUACGGAGGAUCCGAGCGUUAUCCGGAUUUAUUGGGUUUAAAGGGUGCGCAGGCGGCUUUUUAAGUCAGUGGUUAAAUCGUGACGCUCAACGUCAUCACGCCAUUGAUACUGGAGAGCUUGAUUGCGGUCGAGGUUUGCGGAAUUCGUUGUGUAGCGGUGAAAUGCAUAGAUAUGACGAAGAACACCGAUUGCGUAGGCAGCAGACCAGGCCGUAAAUGACGCUCAUGCACGAAAGUGCGGGGAUCGAACAGGAUUAGAUACCCUGGUA